UACGUAGGGGGCGAGCGUUACCCGGAUUUACUGGGCGUAAAGCGCGUGUAGGCGGCUGGUCAAGCGUGGUGUGAAAUCUCCGGGCUCAACCCGGAAACUGCAUUGCGAACUGACCUAGCUGGAGUGCAGGAGAGGGCAGCGGAAUUCCCGGUGUAGCGGUGAAAUGCGUAGAUAUCGGGAAGAACACCAGUGGCGAAGGCGGCUGCCUGGCCUGUAACUGACGCUGAGACGCGAAAGCGUGGGGAGCAAACAGG
This 254-nucleotide ribosomal RNA is filed under the name uncultured bacterium. RNAcentral's name for it is "partial 16S ribosomal RNA". It matches the Rfam family "Bacterial small subunit ribosomal RNA", at positions 524 to 776 of the family's 1533-position model. The record is from RNAcentral.